Molecule: ribosomal RNA, 253 nt
Filed under: uncultured bacterium
Lineage: Bacteria
Description: partial 16S ribosomal RNA
Rfam family: Bacterial small subunit ribosomal RNA
Source: RNAcentral
UACGGGGGGAGCAAGCGUUGUUCGGAUUUACUGGGCGUAAAGCGCGCGUAGGCGGCUUUGUAAGUUAGAGGUGAAAGCCCAGGGCUCAACCCUGGAAUUGCCUUUAAGACUGCAUCGCUUGAACAUCGGAGAGGUAAGUGGAAUUCCGAGUGUAGAGGUGAAAUUCGUAGAUAUUCGGAAGAACACCAGUGGCGAAGGCGACUUACUGGACGAUUGUUGACGCUGAGGUGCGAAAGCGUGGGGAGCAAACAGG